UUAAAAAAAAAACUACCUUUGAAAGUAGAAUGGCAAUGCAGUUCAAUCAUCUUUCUUUUGCAGUUUCAAUUAUGUGCAUUGUUUUUGUCAUGGUUGCAGGAUUUCAAGAUUCGCCACAUCUUGACAAACCAGAUUGCUUCCUUUCGUUUCCAUGUCCACAAAACGAUGGACCUUGUAAAAAAGUUUGUAUUGAAUAUGGUUUUCCUAAAGGUGGAGUGUGUCAACCAAACGGGAACAAAUGUUGUUGCAUUGGAAACUAGAGAGAUAUGUGGUUGAUAUUUGUACAAUCUCAAUGUUUGUACAAGAAUAUCUACAAAUAAAAUCUUCAAAUAUUUUCCAAAAUAAAA
Molecule: long non-coding RNA, 347 nt
Organism: Medicago truncatula (barrel medic)
Lineage: Eukaryota; Viridiplantae; Streptophyta; Magnoliopsida; Fabales; Fabaceae
Exons: 2
Source: RefSeq, a predicted model, not a curated record